Molecule: long non-coding RNA, 1050 nt
Organism: Cyprinus carpio carpio
Lineage: Eukaryota; Metazoa; Chordata; Actinopteri; Cypriniformes; Cyprinidae
Source: Ensembl
AACUGCACUGUGAGUAUUUAAAAUUAAGUCAUUGUCUUUGUUUGCAUUGUACAUGGACUUGUCUAAACCUGCCUUUCAACCAAUCCGUCCUUGUGUCUGUCUCAAUCAACAGUUCAUCAGUAGAGUUCAGAGAAUCCUACAAAACACCAUUGGAAUGGAGUUUCAUUUUCAGUGAACCAAUGAACAACUCGAUAGACGUUUUCAAUAUUAUACACAAACUCACUACAACAAAUCAUCAUGCAUGUUUAUGUGACCAUUGAGGCAACAAGUGGUAGUUAGUGCAGAGUUAAAGAACCGUGCUGUUAAUCUGAAGCUUCAAAUCCUUGAAGUAAGAAAGCAGAAUACUCAAGCAUAUCCUGUCUAACUGCAUGCAAGUCCCUUAAAGAAAACUCAUUAGAUGAAUCAGUGUUGCAAACUUUGGAAAAAGUCAUUCUUGGUAGUGUUUAUUGUUAAAGCAUUAAAUUGGUGAAGGUUUUUAUUUUUUUUAUUUUUUUAUUUUUUGCAAUGCAAAUCCACUGUCUCUUGGAAAUUGCAUAAACUGAAACAAACCCAUUCAGAAAUUGCUAGUAAAUUUAAUUAGAAUCAGCAAGUAACACAAUGAAUUAAGCAUGACAUGUCUAACUUUUUGUAGCAUGUAGCCCAUCAGGUUUGAGCUGCACCACCAGCUCAAAUGUUUUGAUGUUUUGUGAAUGAAGAUAUUACUAUUGAUGGAUGUCUGGAAACUGUAAAAUGUUCAAUAAAUAAUAAUAAUAAAAAGCUUAGUUGUGCGCAGAUAAAGUUUUUCCUUGCCCUUGUGAACAGCUUGGCGUGCCACUUCUUCUCAGAAUUGCUGCACAGAUAGCUGGCCUUGUUAUCUUGUCACAACACUGUGUUAAAAAGCACAGUUAUAGGGUUUUCCAUGAAUUUGUUCCUUCACGGAUUUUGAAUAUCCAUUGAGUGACAAGUGAGACUCAUUGGGGAGCAGUGACUACAACACAGUGGCAGAGUUUGAAUGCUUUUGCAAUGCAGCGAGUCUGGUUAACAAGCCCUACACAAUCUGCUCUCUAAAAG